UACGAAGGGGGCUAGCGUUGCUCGGAAUCACUGGGCGUAAAGCGCACGUAGGCGGGUCGUUAAGUCGGGGGUGAAAUCCUGGAGCUCAACUCCAGAACUGCCUUCGAUACUGGCGAUCUUGAGUCUGGGAGAGGUGAGUGGAACUCCGAGUGUAGAGGUGAAAUUCGUAGAUAUUCGGAAGAACACCAGUGGCGAAAGCGACUUCCUGGACCAAUACUGACGCUCAUGUGCGAAAGCGUGGGGAGCAAACAGG
RNAcentral lists this ribosomal RNA (253 nucleotides) under uncultured bacterium. RNAcentral's name for it is "partial 16S ribosomal RNA". It matches the Rfam family "Bacterial small subunit ribosomal RNA", at positions 524 to 776 of the family's 1533-position model. The record is from RNAcentral.